Molecule: ribosomal RNA, 1398 nt
Filed under: Triticum aestivum (bread wheat)
Lineage: Eukaryota; Viridiplantae; Streptophyta; Magnoliopsida; Poales; Poaceae
Description: partial small subunit ribosomal RNA
Source: RNAcentral
AUGUCCACCGUUGACUCGUGGCACUUCUAUGCCAAGCUCGCCCGCCAAUUCAUGAAGGGCUGGGGCGCUAACCUUGGUCGUGACCUCCGCGAGCGCAAAAGGGCCCUCCUGCUGGCUAUUCAAGCCUUGGACGCCCGGGCCGACACCUUCGGAAUCUCCCCGGAUGAGUGGAUGCUGAGAUAUGAUCUUGAGGAUCAACUCUUAACCAUCUACACGGAUGAGGAGGCUUACUGGAGGUUGUGCGGUACCCAAAGAUGGGUGCUUCGUGGCGAUGCGAACACCGCAUAUUUCCAGGCGGUAGCGAACGGCCGGCGUCGCCAGAACUCCAUACACUGCCUAUGGGAGGGAGAUACGCCUCUCGUUCGCCCCUCGGCCAUCCGGGCCCAUGUUGACGCCUUUUACAAAGCUCUAUUUACCCCCACCCCUCGGGGUGGGGCUAGUCUCGCCCCCGACAUUUGGUCGGGUGUGCAGUUGGUCUCUGCUGAGGCCAAUGCGGCAUUGGUUGCCCCCUUCGUCGAGGACGAGGUCCUCGCGGCUAUUAAGGGGAUGAACCCCUCCUCGGCCCCGGGGCCGGAUGGCCUGCCUGUAACGUUCUUCAAAACGUUCUGGCAGACCAUCAAGCCGGAGGUCAUGGCCCUGUUUGAGGAAUUCUACUCGGGCUCUAUGGAUCUUGGACGCCUUAACUACGGGAUCGUUACCCUCAUCCCCAAGGUUCCGGGCGCCUCCGAUAUCCGCCAUUUCCGUCCCAUCAUAGUGAUUAAUGUGAUAUUCCGAAUCCUGGCCAAAGGGUACGCCAAUAGGGUGACCCUGCUCGCUGACACGAUUACCCACCCGAACCAAUCUGCCUUCAUACAAGGCCGAUUUAUUCUGGAUGGGAUGUUGGUAUUCCACGAAGUCUUCCACAAAGUCCGGGUGAAACACCAUCGAGCAGUCUUCUUGAAGCUUGACUUCCACAAAGCAUACGACACUGUCCACUGGCCCUUCUUGCAAGAAGUGUUGCUCCGAAAGGGCUUUGACGACCGUUGGGUGACUCGCGUUAUGCAACUGGUCUCCUGCGGCCGGACCGCGGUGAACAUUAACGGUGACAUAGGGCCCUACUUCCCCACCCUCUGCGGGGUCCGUCAGGGUGACCCGUUCUCGCCGUUCCUGUUCAACAUGGUGGUGGAUGCCCUGGCCGCUAUCCUCGACAAGGCCAAGGAUGCCGGACAUAUUCGCGGCAUCGUACCCCAUCUAGUCGGAGGGGGAGGGGUCUCCCUCCUUCAAUAUGCGGAUGAUACCAUAAUAAUGGUUGAGGGGUUUGUUCAGGACAUAGCUAACCUGAAGUUCCUCCUGUGCUUCCAACAGAUGUCGGGACUAACCAUAAACUUCGAUAAGAGCGAAGUGAUGGUUCUUGGGUAA